Molecule: long non-coding RNA, 449 nt
Organism: Felis catus (domestic cat)
Lineage: Eukaryota; Metazoa; Chordata; Mammalia; Carnivora; Felidae
Exons: 3
Source: RefSeq, a predicted model, not a curated record
UAAGUGGCAGGGUCGGUUUGGAAUCCAGGCCUGAGUCCGUGUCCGGAGCGAGCAAUACACUCUUCCGCCUCCGCCAAAGGAAUGAUGGUGGGAGAUGGGAGAGUCGGAGAGUCUCGGAGGGAGGGCAGCUAGAGGAUCCGAGGAGAACAGAAGAGGAUUGCUGUGAGGACAAACAAGAUACAUCUCGAAAAGUACUUAGGACACACCCGGCCCCUGCCGAGGGCUUCGCAAAAAGACCGGAUCUAGAAGGAGGAGAACUUGAACAGGACUUCAGCUGACACGUGAUGUGAGUGAGAGAUAAACCAGGGUGGGGAUGAGCCACGAAGAUCUGGGGAUUGUUUGUUCCGCAGCACAACCUGGCAAAAACUGACCGAGACACAUAAAGAAUGUUUUACAUAAUAAUUGCCAGUUCGGGUAAAUCAAAGAUUACUCUGUUUCUUAAAAGACUA